UCUUUUGCCUUUCGGCAGGAAGUCAUCCUGCAUACUGAAUGUUUGGCCUUCUCCCCCUGGAAGGAUUGUUUGAGCUUCACACUGAGCAGAGGAUUAAUCUCCCCACGUCCCGUUCAAGUUCUCCAGGAAAUCUAAGUGGCAGUCCGCUCCAUCGCUCCUCAGGAACCAACCAAACCAAAACCUGUCCGCCCUCCAACGAGCCCCUUUAUCUCUGGACAAACCCAUACCGACUGGAUUCUGGGAAGAAACCUUUCUCCGUAAUCUUCCGGUUCACCUGCUCUCUGAGUUCCCCUGAAUCCAACCCAUUUGAACUCCUCAAUAAACCUGUUAAACUUUUA
Cyprinodon tularosa is the source of this 338-nucleotide long non-coding RNA. RefSeq lists it as uncharacterized. Lineage: Eukaryota; Metazoa; Chordata; Actinopteri; Cyprinodontiformes; Cyprinodontidae. The transcript is spliced from 2 exons. The record is from RefSeq and is a predicted model, not a curated record.